GACGAACGCUGGCGGCGCGCCUAACACAUGCAAGUCGAACGGAGCUGAGAGAAGCUUGCUUUUCUUAGCUUAGUGGCGAACGGGUGAGUAACGCGUGAGUAACCUGCCCUGGAGUGGGGGACAACAGUUGGAAACGACUGCUAAUACCGCAUAAGCCCACGAUCCGGCAUCGGAUUGAGGGAAAAGGAUUUAUUCGCUUCAGGAUGGACUCGCGUCCAAUUAGCUAGUUGGUGAGGUAACGACCCACCAAGGCGACGAUUGGUAGCCGGACUGAGAGGUUGAACGGCCACAUUGGGACUGAGACGCGGCCCAGACUCCUACGGGAGGCAGCAGUGGGGGAUAUUGCACAAUGGGGGAAACCCUGAUGCAGCGACGCCGCGUGGAGGAAGAAGGUUUUCGGAUUGUAAACUCCUGUCGUUAGGGACGAUAAUGACGGUACCUAACAAGAAAGCACCGGCUAACUACGUG
Molecule: ribosomal RNA, 468 nt
Filed under: uncultured bacterium
Lineage: Bacteria
Description: partial 16S ribosomal RNA
Rfam family: Bacterial small subunit ribosomal RNA
Source: RNAcentral